RNAcentral lists this ribosomal RNA (253 nucleotides) under uncultured bacterium. RNAcentral describes it as "partial 16S ribosomal RNA". It matches the Rfam family "Bacterial small subunit ribosomal RNA", at positions 524 to 776 of the family's 1533-position model. The record is from RNAcentral.
UACGGAGGGUGCAAGCGUUAACCGGAAUUACUGGGCGUAAAGCGCACGCAGGCGGUUUGUUAAGUCAGAUGUGAGAUCCCCGGGCUGAACCUGGGAACUGCAUUUGAAACUGGCAAGCUAGAGUCUCGUAGAGGGGGGUAGAAUUCCAGGUGUAGCGGUGAAAUGCGGAGAGAUCUGGAGGAAUACCGGUGGCGAAGGCGGCCCCCUGGACUAAGACUGACGCUCAGGUGCGAAAGCGUGGGGAGCAAACAGG